AUUGAACGCUGGCGGUAUGCUUAACACAUGCAAGUCGAACGAUGAGAAAGAGCUUGCUCUUUCGAUUAGUGGCGGACGGGUGCGUAACGCGUAGGAAUCUACCUAUUAGUGGGGGACAACUUAGGGAAACUUAAGCUAAUACCGCAUACGCCCUACGGGGGAAAGAAGGGGAUCGCAAGACCUUGUGCUAAUUGAUGAGCCUGCGUAGGAUUAGCUAGUUGGUGGGGUAAAAGCUCACCAAGGCGACGACCCUUACCUGGUUUGAGAGAAUGAUCAGUCACACUGGACCUGAGACACGGACCAGACUCCUACGGGAGGCAGCAGUGGGGAAUAUUGGACAAUGGGCGAAAGCCUGAUCCAGCAAUACCGCGUGUGUGAAGAAGGCCUUAGGGUUGUAAAGCACUUUCAAUUGGAAGGAAAACCUCGAAGCUAAUACCUUCGAGUUUGACAUUACCUUUAGAAGAAGCACCGGCUAACUCCGUGCCAGCCGCCGCCGUAA
RNAcentral lists this ribosomal RNA (499 nucleotides) under uncultured bacterium. RNAcentral describes it as "partial 16S ribosomal RNA". It matches the Rfam family "Bacterial small subunit ribosomal RNA", at positions 30 to 523 of the family's 1533-position model. The record is from RNAcentral.